CAUGCAGUCGAGCGGUAAGGCCCUUCGGGGUACACGAGCGGCGAACGGGUGAGUAACACGUGGGUGAUCUGCCUUGCACUUCGGGAUAAGCCUGGGAAACUGGGUCUAAUACCGGAUAUGACCUUCCAGUGCAUGCUGGUGGGUGGAAAGAUUUAUCGGUGCGAGAUGGGCCCGCGGCCUAUCAGCUUGUUGGUGGGGUAACGGCUCACCAAGGCGACGACGGGUAGCCGGCCUGAGAGGGCGACCGGCCACACUGGGACUGAGACACGGCCCAGACUCCUACGGGAGGCAGCAGUGGGGAAUAUUGCACAAUGGGCGAAAGCCUGAUGCAGCGACGCCGCGUGCGGGAUGACGGCCUUCGGGUUGUAAACCGCUUUUGACAGGGACGAAGCGCAAGUGACUGUACCUGUAGAAUAAGGACCGGCCAACUACGUGCCAGCAGCCGCGGUAAUACGUAGGGUCCGAGCGUUGUCCGGAAUUACUGGGCGUAAAGAGCUUGUAGGCGGUUCGUCGCGUCGUUUGUGAAAACUUGGGGCUCAACCUUAAGCUUGCAGGCGAUACGGGCGGACUAGAGUACUUCAGGGGAGACUGGAAUUCCUGGUGUAGCGGUGAAAUGCGCAGAUAUCAGGAGGAACACCGGUGGCGAAGGCGGGUCUCUGGGAAGUAACUGACGCUGAGAAGCGAAAGCGUGGGUAGCGAACAGGAUUAGAUACCCUGGUAGUCCACGCCGUAAACGGUGGGUACUAGGUGUGGGGCUCCUUCCACGGACUCCGUGCCGUAGCUAACGCAUUAAGUACCCCGCCUGGGGAGUACGGCCGCAAGGCUAAAACUCAAAGAAAUUGACGGGGGCCCGCACAAGCGGCGGAGCAUGUGGAUUAAUUCGAUGCAACGCGAAGAACCUUACCUGGGUUUGACAUACACCAGAAACACGUAGAGAUACGUGCCCCCUUGUGGUUGGUGUACAGGUGGUGCAUGGNUGUCGUCAGCUCGUGUCGUGAGAUGUUGGGUUAAGUCCCGCAACGAGCGCAACCCUUAUCUUAUGUUGCCAGCGCGUUAUGGC
RNAcentral lists this ribosomal RNA (1060 nucleotides) under Nocardia ignorata. Its description in RNAcentral is "bacterial SSU rRNA". It matches the Rfam family "Bacterial small subunit ribosomal RNA", at positions 54 to 1132 of the family's 1533-position model. The record is from RNAcentral. Lineage: Bacteria; Bacillati; Actinomycetota; Actinomycetes; Mycobacteriales; Nocardiaceae.